Molecule: small nucleolar RNA, 107 nt
Organism: Eutrema salsugineum
Lineage: Eukaryota; Viridiplantae; Streptophyta; Magnoliopsida; Brassicales; Brassicaceae
Rfam family: Plant small nucleolar RNA R71
About the family: R71 is a member of the C/D box family of snoRNAs containing the C (UGAUGA) and D (CUGA) box motifs.
Source: Rfam
AACCCAUGGUGAGGGCACUCUCCUCGGUACUCCUUGUACCUUUUCCAAGCUUCGCAGAAAGCUUCACUAGGUUGUUGUCUGAACGAAGAGAUCUUAUUCCUCAGAGC